Molecule: RNA transcript, 636 nt
Organism: Nicotiana attenuata
Lineage: Eukaryota; Viridiplantae; Streptophyta; Magnoliopsida; Solanales; Solanaceae
Gene name: 60S ribosomal protein L13-2-like
Exons: 1
Source: RefSeq, a predicted model, not a curated record
ACUCCCAAAGCCUCCAGAAGCAGUAGCUAACCAGGUAAGAGAUGAAGCACAACAAUGUUAUACCCAAUGGGCACUUCAAGAAGCAUUGGCAAAACUAUGUAAGGACUUGGUUCAACCAGCCAGCUAGGAAAACAAGGAGACGUGCUGCUAGACAGCAGAAGGCUGUGAAGAUCUUCCCUAGGCCAACUGCGGGAUCACUUCGACCUAUUGUUCAUGGACAAACACUGAAAUACAACAUGAAAGUCCGGGCUGGGAGGGGAUUUUCUCUUGAAGAACUGAAAGCAGCUGGUAUUCCCAAGAAACUAGCACCAACCAUUGGCAUUGCUGUUGAUCAUCGCCGCAGGAACAGCUAAGCUUGUCAUCUUCCCAAGGCAUGCUAAGAAAGUCAAGGCUGGUGAUUCUAGUGCAGAGGAACUUGCUACUGCCACCCAGGUCCAGGGUUCAUACAUGCCUAUUACUAGGGAGCAGCCAGCUGUUGAUUUUGUCAAGGUCACAGAUGAGAUGAAAUCAUUCAAUGACUAUGGCGAGUUGCAUAUCGAGCGUACAAAUGCGCAACACAUCGGAGCCAGGUUUAAGAGGGCAGCUGAAGUAGGAAAGGAAGAUCAUGCAAAUCUUUUGAUGGUGUUUAUGUUAUAG